Molecule: ribosomal RNA, 393 nt
Filed under: uncultured bacterium
Lineage: Bacteria
Description: bacterial SSU rRNA
Rfam family: Bacterial small subunit ribosomal RNA
Source: RNAcentral
GAUGAACGCUAGCGGCAGGCUUAACACAUGCAAGUCGAGGGGCAGCAGGGUAGCAAUACCGCUGGCGACCGGCAAACGGGUGCGGAACACGUACAGAAUCUACCUUUAUCUGGGGCAUAGCCCGAAGAAAUUCGGAUUAACACCCCAUAAGAUAUCAGAGUGGCAUCACUUAGAUAUUAAAUCUCCGGAGGAUAGAGAUGACUGUGCGUCCCAUUAGCUAGUUGGUAGGGUAACGGCCUACCAAGGCGACGAUGGGUAGCUGGUGUGAGAGCACGACCAGCCACACGGGCACUGAGACACGGGCCCGACUCCUACGGGAGGCAGCAGUGAGGAAUAUUGGGCAAUGGACGCAAGUCUGACCCAGCCAUGCCGCGUGAAGGAUGAAGGCGUUCU